RNAcentral lists this ribosomal RNA (301 nucleotides) under uncultured bacterium. Its description in RNAcentral is "partial 16S ribosomal RNA". It matches the Rfam family "Bacterial small subunit ribosomal RNA", at positions 509 to 808 of the family's 1533-position model. The record is from RNAcentral.
CAGCCGCCGCGGUAAUACGAAGGGUGCAAGCGUUAAUCGGAAUUACUGGGCGUAAAGCGUGCGUAGGCGGUGAGUUAAGUCUGCUGUGAAAUCCCCGGGCUCAACCUGGGAAUGGCAAUGGAUACUGGCAAACUAGAGUGUGUCAGAGGAUGGUGGAAUUCCCGGUGUAGCGGUGAAAUGCGUAGAGAUCGGGAGGAACAUCAGUGGCGAAGGCGGCCAUCUGGGACAACACUGACGCUGAGGCACGAAAGCGUGGGGAGCAAACAGGAUUAGAUACCCCCGUAGUCCCUGUCCUUAUACC